RNAcentral lists this small RNA (88 nucleotides) under Enterobacter kobei. Lineage: Bacteria; Pseudomonadati; Pseudomonadota; Gammaproteobacteria; Enterobacterales; Enterobacteriaceae. The record is from RNAcentral.
AAGGACGAAUUCUUCGGGAAUAAGCUUAGGAAGCACUGCUGUGUGUACUGUAGAGUCUGACGGAUGUCGGCAGACUCUAUUUUUUUAU